AACGAACGCUGGCGGCAGGCCUAACACAUGCAAGUCGAGCGAGCAUUUCGGUGCUAGCGGCGGACGGGUGAGUAACGCGUGGGAACGUGCCCUUUUCUGCGGAAUAGUCCUGGGAAACUGGGGGUAAUACCGCAUACGCCCUUUUGGGGAAAGAUUUAUCGGAGAAGGAUCGGCCCGCGUUGGAUUAGGUAGUUGGUGGGGUAAUGGCCCACCAAGCCGACGAUCCAUAGCUGGUUUGAGAGGAUGAUCAGCCACACUGGGACUGAGACACGGCCCAGACUCCUACGGGAGGCAGCAGUGGGGAAUCUUAGACAAUGGGGGCAACCCGGAUCUAGCCAUGCCGCGUGAGUGAUGAAGGCCUUAGGGUUGUAAAGCUCUUUCAGCUGGGAAGAUAAUGACGGUACCAGCAGAAGAAGCCCCGGCUAACUCCGUG
RNAcentral lists this ribosomal RNA (433 nucleotides) under uncultured bacterium. RNAcentral's name for it is "partial 16S ribosomal RNA". It matches the Rfam family "Bacterial small subunit ribosomal RNA", at positions 29 to 507 of the family's 1533-position model. The record is from RNAcentral.